GACGAACGCUGGCGGCGUGCUUAACACAUGCCAGUCGAACGGAAAGGCCCUUCGGGGUACUCGAGUGGCGAACGGGUGAGUAACACGUGGGUGAUCUGCCCUGCACUUUGGGAUAAGCCUGGGAAACUGGGUCUAAUACCGAAUAGGACCACGCGCUUCAUGGUGUGUGGUGGAAAGCUUUUGCGGUGUGGGAUGGGCCCGCGGCCUAUCAGCUUGUUGGUGGGGUAAUGGCCUACCAAGGCGACGACGGGUAGCCGGCCUGAGAGGGUGACCGGCCACACUGGGACUGAGAUACGGCCCAGACUCCUACGGGAGGCAGCAGUGGGGAAUAUUGCACAAUGGGCGCAAGCCUGAUGCAGCGACGCCGCGUGAGGGAUGACGGCCUUCGGGUUGUAAACCUCUUUCAAUAGGGACGUAGCGCAAGUGACGGUACCUAUAGAAGAAGCACCGGCCAACUACGUG
This 462-nucleotide ribosomal RNA is filed under the name uncultured bacterium. RNAcentral describes it as "partial 16S ribosomal RNA". It matches the Rfam family "Bacterial small subunit ribosomal RNA", at positions 28 to 507 of the family's 1533-position model. The record is from RNAcentral.